CCCUUAGAUGUUCUGGGCCGCACGCGCGCUACACUGACGGAGGCAGCGAGCAUGUCCUUCGCCGAGAGGUGUGGGGAAUCUUGUGAGUCUCCGUCGUGCUGGGGAUAGAUGGUUGCAAUUGUCGAUCUUGAACGAGGAAUUCCUAGUAAGCGCGAGUCAUCAGCUCGCGCUGAUUACGUCCCUGCCCUUUGUACACACCGCCCGGCGCUACUACCGAUUGGAUGGCUUAGCGAGAAUUUUGGAUCGGAGCCCGGGUGGUCGGCAACGGUCGCCCGGGAGAUCUGAGAAAUCAUUCCAGCUUGGUCAUCUAGAGGAAGUAAAAGUCGUAACA
This 331-nucleotide ribosomal RNA is filed under the name uncultured eukaryote. RNAcentral describes it as "partial 18S ribosomal RNA". It matches the Rfam family "Eukaryotic small subunit ribosomal RNA", at positions 1470 to 1796 of the family's 1831-position model. The record is from RNAcentral.